This is a long non-coding RNA of Anthonomus grandis grandis, 829 nucleotides long. RefSeq lists it as uncharacterized. NCBI's taxonomy places the organism in Eukaryota, Metazoa, Arthropoda, Insecta, Coleoptera, Curculionidae. The transcript is spliced from 3 exons. The record is from RefSeq and is a predicted model, not a curated record.
GUUUAACUAUUUUGUUAAUAUAUGAACUUUAUUAAUAUUAAAAAAUAAAUAUUUGUACUAUGUAGGUAUUUUUAUUUUACAAGAUAAUAAUAUCUAAAAAAAUGUUUAAGUCCGGCUCUAGCCAUGGCAAAAGCCGCGUGGACCGUAGCGAGUGUCAGCGGCAUCCCUACUAUAAGCAAAUAUGCCGCGCCUGCCUUAGUAAACAUGCACCGAACUCGCUUAUUCAAACCAAUGUAUUUUUAAUGAAGUGCGACUGCUGGUUUCUUUAUGCUGUGACUGAGCGUUGAGGGAUUCUAUGCUCACUACUCUGACCUGCUGAGAAAUCAUUUAGGCGUUAACAAAUUGCUUCCUAUUACUCAGGUAACUGAUGGGAUCAAUACUAGAGGAAAUCUGAGAUGUCGACUUUUUUGUAAUUGAGCAAUAAAAAUUAUUAAAAGCAUUCACAUCGAUCUCAAAGCCACCAACCUGACCAAUAUGGAUAAAAAAAAUAAAUUCAAUCUAGAAAAUCCCAAUGAUGUCGAGUAUCUUUUAUCGGUCAUAGAUGAUGACAUGGUCAUAAAUUCAGAAGCUGAAGGUGAUUCAGACGCUGAUGACGAAUUGCCUCUAUCUACAUUUGCGAAUACUUAAACUCUAAUAUCUCUACUCUAAUACUAAAAAACAAUAAUAUUGUUUUAUGAUAAUUACCCAAUGAUAAGGGUUUAUUUGUUAUAAUAUAAAUGGAGAUUGGUUUUAUCUAUUAUUAGAAUAUAACAUGAUAUGAAAAAAGUCUGAUGAUAUACCAAAUAAUAUGUAUUUCUUUAAGAAUUCACUUUUUUAUUUACUGUUUUAA